UACGAAGGGGGCUAGCGUUGUUCGGAAUUACUGGGCGUAAAGGGCGCGCAGGCGGCUCUUCAAGUCAGAUGUGAAAGCCCCGGGCUCAACCUGGGAACUGCAUUUGAGACUGGAGAGCUUGAGUUCGGGAGAGGAUGGUGGAAUUCCCAGUGUAGAGGUGAAAUUCGUAGAUAUUGGGAAGAACACCGGUGGCGAAGGCGGCGAGCUGGUCCAUUACUGACGCUGAGGCGCGACAGCGUGGGGAGCAAACAGG
This 253-nucleotide ribosomal RNA is filed under the name uncultured bacterium. RNAcentral describes it as "partial 16S ribosomal RNA". It matches the Rfam family "Bacterial small subunit ribosomal RNA", at positions 524 to 776 of the family's 1533-position model. The record is from RNAcentral.